This 501-nucleotide long non-coding RNA is filed under the name Rattus norvegicus (Norway rat). RNAcentral's name for it is "long non-coding RNA NONRATT017334". The record is from RNAcentral. Lineage: Eukaryota; Metazoa; Chordata; Mammalia; Rodentia; Muridae.
AAGAGCAAUUUACCGAUGAAGAAGGCAACCUCAUCACUAGAAAAAUCACUCGGAAGGUAAUAAGACGGAUUGGUCCACAAGAGAGGAAGCAGGAUGAUGUGCAGGGAGAAGGCUAUAAGGUGAAAACAAAGAAGGAAAUCCGGAAUGUGGAGAAGAAAGCCCACUAGUGACGGUGACGUCAGUCCAGGACCACGCGUUCGUACUGCCAGUAUUGAGAAACUCACCAGAGAUCAGCAGGGAGGAGAAUCUCUAGCAAGAGCGGAGUGUGGAUCUGCCACCCCACACAUCAGUGACAUGUUUGGGGUUUUGGGUUUUUUUGGUUUUUUUUUUUAAUGCAGAAGGAUAAAGAAAAUCACCUUUUUUUUUAUUUAGCAUGAGCCAAUUUACAGAGCAUGGAGACUCACUUUCAUUCCCGGCGCUGACACGCGUGCACUAAGCAAGUGCAAUGUAAGAUACAAGAAGCCAUGUUGUUCAGACUCAGCCUCAAGUAAUUUGGUGUCA